This 457-nucleotide ribosomal RNA is filed under the name uncultured bacterium. RNAcentral's name for it is "partial 16S ribosomal RNA". It matches the Rfam family "Bacterial small subunit ribosomal RNA", at positions 338 to 795 of the family's 1533-position model. The record is from RNAcentral.
CCUACGGGUGGCAGCAGUGGGGAAUAUUGCACAAUGGGCGCAAGCCUGAUGCAGCGACGCCGCGUGCGGGAUGGAGGCCUUCGGGUUGUAAACCGCUUUUGUUCAAGGGCAAGGCACGGUCUUUGGCCGUGUUGAGUGGAUUGUUCGAAUAAGCACCGGCUAACUACGUGCCAGCAGCCGCGGUAAUACGUAGGGUGCAAGCGUUAUCCGGAUUUAUUGGGUUUAAAGGGUGCGCAGGCGGCCUGUUAAGUCAGCGGUAAAAGCCCGGGGCUCAACCCCGGCGAGCCGUUGAAACUGGCGGGCUGGAGUUGGAGAGAAGUACGCGGAAUGCGCGGUGUAGCGGUGAAAUGCUUAGAUAUCGCGCAGAACCCCGAUUGCGAAGGCAGCGUACCGGCUCCACACUGACGCUGAGGCACGAAAGCGUGGGUAUCGAACAGGAUUAGAUACCCGGGUAGUC